Molecule: ribosomal RNA, 474 nt
Filed under: uncultured organism
Description: partial 16S ribosomal RNA
Rfam family: Bacterial small subunit ribosomal RNA
Source: RNAcentral
GUACACUCCUGCGGGAGGCAGCAGUGGGGAAUUUUGGACAAUGGGCGAAAGCCUGAUCCAGCAAUGCCGCGUGAGUGAAGAAGGCCUUCGGGUUGUAAAGCUCUUUUGUCAGGGAAGAAACGGUGAGAGCUAAUAUCUCUUGCUAAUGACGGUACCUGAAGAAUAAGCACCGGCUAACUACGUGCCAGCAGCCGCGGUAAUACGUAGGGUGCAAGCGUUAAUCGGAAUUACUGGGCGUAAAGCGUGCGCAGGCGGUUUUGUAAGUCUGAUGUGAAAUCCCCGGGCUCAACCUGGGAAUUGCAUUGGAGACUGCAAGGCUAGAAUCUGGCAGAGGGGGGUAGAAUUCCACGUGUAGCAGUGAAAUGCGUAGAUAUGUGGAGGAACACCGAUGGCGAAGGCAGCCCCCUGGGUCAAGAUUGACGCUCAUGCACGAAAGCGUGGGGAGCAAACAGGAUUAGAUACCCGAGUAGUCCC